This 362-nucleotide unclassified non-coding RNA is filed under the name Hevea brasiliensis (rubber tree). Lineage: Eukaryota; Viridiplantae; Streptophyta; Magnoliopsida; Malpighiales; Euphorbiaceae. The record is from RNAcentral.
GUCAAAUUUGGCAUUAGAAAACAUGUGGAAGUUAACCUAAUUGGACUGCCACGGUGCCACCAUCAUACAUGAUUGGUAAUUGUGAUGGUUUUUAGUUGCCUUUUGUACUGAUUCAUUAAGAUUACAAUAGGCUUUGACUUUAUCUUGUGUGGUGUUCAGUAUCUUGAAAAUGAAAUGGUUCAUCUUGUAUUAUUGCUUGUUUUCAUAUCAAGAAUUUUUUAGCCUAAAUAAAGUAGUAAUUGGCUUCAUCUAUAAAAAGAAAAGAAUUGGGAUAAUUUUCCUAUAUGGUUGUUGAUACGAACCUGCCUACCUCCGCCUCAAAAGUUAACUCACAAUAGGAGAUUUGCAAACCUAUAUAUAUA